RNAcentral lists this ribosomal RNA (508 nucleotides) under uncultured bacterium. Its description in RNAcentral is "partial 16S ribosomal RNA". The stretch from base 75 to 508 matches the Rfam family "Bacterial small subunit ribosomal RNA", at positions 1 to 414 of the family's 1533-position model. The record is from RNAcentral.
GGGUCGCCGAGUUGGGUGCCGGUGCCAUGGGCGCUGCUGCGGUUCCAUCUGCAACGCCUCCCUAAGGGCGAAUUCUGCAGAUGAGUUUGAUCCUGGCUCAGGAUGAACGCUGGCGGCGUGCUUAACACAUGCAAGUCGAACGGGAAGCGGCGCACUAUUGCUUAGGUGAUUGUGUGCCGUGGAGAGUGGCGAACGGGUGCGUAACACGUAGGUAACCUGCCCCGAAAGGGGGGAUAACCACGGGAAACUGUGGCUAAUACCGCAUGAUGUCUUCGGAGCACAGGCCCCGGAGAGCAAAGCUGGAAACGGCGCUGAAGGAGGGAGCUGCGGCCGAUUAGCUUGUUGGUGGGGUAACGGCCUACCAAGGCGGCAAUCGGUAGCCGGCCUGAGAGGGCGCACGGCCACACUGGAACUGAAACACGGUCCAGACUCCUACGGGAGGCAGCAGUGGGGAAUUUUGCACAAUGCCCGAAAGGGUGAUGCAGCAACGCCGCGUGGAGGAUGAAGG